UAAACACUGUUCUCUGGUUAGUUUUGCAGGUUUGCAUCCAGCUGUAUGAUACUCUGCUGUGCAAAUCCAUGCAAAACUGACUGUGGCAGUGAAAAG
MicroRNA precursor from Naja naja (Indian cobra), 96 nucleotides. Ensembl annotates it as microRNA 19b-1. Its record names the gene MIR19B1. NCBI's taxonomy places the organism in Eukaryota, Metazoa, Chordata, Lepidosauria, Squamata, Elapidae. The record is from Ensembl.